AGUUUUUUCUAAAAUAAACUGUCUCUGUUAUCAUUUCAUUUUUGCAGGUUUCACUCACAACCACGGUGCACAGACCAACGCGGUGCUGAAAAUUGGUCGACGAGAGCUGAAUGCGGCUCAGCUUGUAGAAAAUUCAAAGAUAGAACCGAAAUGACCCAGAGACCACACCGCGACACUGAUAUGGGAAAUAAGGAAACCGGAGAGAACAGUUCUCGAAUGGCGGACAACCACUACCAAGAAGGGAUAAGGCCCUUAAGAUCGGGCUUUUCUCCUGGGACCCAAAGCCCACGGGUGGAUGAGUCACAGGUAAGAGGUGAAAACCAUGAACCAGAAGCAGACAUUGAUCGUGCGUAUUCGGAUCAACGUCGACGAUCUUGGACCACUUCUGAUGACGUCAGCCGGAACCAAGGAAGGCACCAAGUAAGAGAGAAUAUAGGGACCUAUAGUUCGGGACCAUCGAUACCGCCAGAAGGCUACGAAACAGAACCUGACUCUCAACAAAGAUGCUUUGAGCCCCUACUGACCUCCACCAGAAUCGGUCACCGUCAUGGAGAAAGCCAAAAUCCAAACACGAAUGGGUUCCCUUUGCAAAACGAAGGCUUUGCUCCGGGAUUGUAUGUUGAUCGCAGUUACUCAGAGCUCCCCACGGGACCUAGGAGGACCUCCAAUAGUGCAAUAGAGGCGUUACAAAAUCAGUGCACUAGCAGUUUAGACCAACCCGGCAAAAAGGGCGAUUCCGUCCGCGCGCGCGACGAAGAAAGGCUAAAACGGACCCUUGCGAGACAUUUCAAUUCCAGAAAGAACCUGGCCCAAAUCUCUCUUGCGGUGGUUCCAGUAGUGGCCUAGGAAUGAGGCCCUCGAGAUCGUUCUGUACAGGAACAGGACCCACCUCGACGCCGUAUCCAUCAGGAUUGACGCCCUGUCAACCGGUUCCCACAGGAAUGGGGCCCCCAACGCCAAAUUGCACAGGAAUGCUCCCGCAAGAAUUUGGGACGUCUUGCGCAGAUAUCGAGUUCCCAGAUAAAGGGUUCUCAGUGGUGGGGCCCUCAGAAUCGUUUUACCUGGGAUUGCGGACCCCACAGCCGGUUUAUAGCGACGGUCAAAAAUGCUGUGCUGAUAAUCUGCCUGGAGUAACACAUACUGGACCCGCUGGAGGACACAUGUCCAACGGAGAUCAACCGCAAGAGACGCGGUCGAAGAUGGAGAUCUGCGCGGACCUGACGAAUGAGGCCAUCGAGACUUUGAGCAAGCUGAAGAUAGCUUCUUCCAAAGUGGCGAGUGAGGACAUCCAAGAGGGCCCAGAUUGCUCGGAGGUCCACUCCGUUGGCUCUGUCGGUUCCAUUGGUUCCGCUGAUGCCGAUUGCUGCACCGAGAGAGACUGGAUGGCUAAGCAGGCCCGCACUUACCGCCAACUCGACGAGAUCGCCGCCAAAAUCGCGGCCAUGGAGAAAAAACACGAACACUUACUCGACGACUCAGGAGAGAAGUCCCUGGUUCGGCGGCAGCGGAGCGUCCACUUUGCGUCCGACUGCGACGUAGACAAGAAUUUGAAGCAGAUAUCGGUCAAAUUGGACACAAUGGAAAACAACCAGGUGACAUUGUCGUCCUCGUGGUUGCAACAGCUCAAAGGCUUCAAGGCAUACACCGAGGCCGUCCAAAUGCGACUCUGCAAUCUCGAGCAACGAACCCGGAUGCUGGAGGAAAAGGCGCAAGAUGCAAACCAUCAGACCAUCCACCGCGCCAUCCAGGGCAGAGCGGGUGGGUCCAGGACUGCCUCUGUCGGGGACCUCGCGUCCCUCCAGGACCCCGCCCGCUUCUCCAGCCAUUCCCUCUGUUCCUCCGUCCAGGGUCAGAUAGAGGACUCUGUCCAAGGUCAGAACGGGGACUCCGCCCAAGGUCAGAUCGAAAACUCAGCCCAAGGUCAGAUUGACGACUCCAUUCAAGGUCAGAUCGAGGACUCCAUUCAAGGUCAGAGUGUGGACUUUGUCAAUGACUGCAUUAAGUGCGAAGAAGGGAGCAUCGCUCUCAGCCUGGAGGUCCUCAUCGAGGAGUUCAAAUGUCUGGAAGAGGUGCGGCAAAACCUGCUCCGACAAGCCCGAGACAGAAGGGACUUUCAAUCUGAUGCGGCGAUGCAAGAGUAUUUGGACACGCUGUCCCAGUUCGAUGCCGGAUUGGUGGAAAUGCGCAAGCUCUUCAAGGAUGUCACGUGGCUCGUCAGGGCUGAUAUUGGCCAGGUCGCGCAGGAGAGAGAGAAGGUACUAAUUCAUCAUACCAGAGACAAAGAGAAACCCUCCAUAGACUGAUUUAGUGGUUGCGUCAUUCGAUAUAAUCUCGAACCCUUUGGUUCAAAUAUAAACAAGCAGGAAAGUCCAACACGAGGUGUUGGAUAAGCGCGGCAUGAUUCAUAAUCAAUUCUUUAUCUGAACUGCCACUAACACGAAAUUAUUCGAUUAAGGGGUUUUAAAUGAUUAAUGACACCUUGACUUCAAUUAAAAUUAGGUAUAUGAUGUAAACACUCGAUUUACGCCACCUUCAAUUGAGCAUUAUGUAAAAAUGAGUUUUAUACAAGGAAGUAAAUGAUACAACUUAAAUUUGACUACAGUAUUGAUAGGGGAUUGAAUAAUGGUCUAACACAUUCAACAUAAUCAAUAAAAAUUUUUCGACCCCGCCGGGAUACGAACACCCACUAUCACAGUUGGCCCAGGCGGAUGUUAAUGGUAGGUGAUCUAGACAACUGAGCCAGCCAGUCACUUGGGGCCCGGGGCAGAAUGUACAGUAUUUAACAGAGUCUGGUUGUCAGGGAAAGCCCCGCCCAUCGCAGAACUGUCAUUUUGGAUGGACGCG
This 2844-nucleotide long non-coding RNA is filed under the name Bemisia tabaci. Its description in RNAcentral is "lncRNA ENSASIAIIG008779". Lineage: Eukaryota; Metazoa; Arthropoda; Insecta; Hemiptera; Aleyrodidae. The record is from RNAcentral.